Molecule: ribosomal RNA, 329 nt
Filed under: uncultured Actinomycetes bacterium
Lineage: Bacteria; Bacillati; Actinomycetota; Actinomycetes
Description: bacterial SSU rRNA
Rfam family: Bacterial small subunit ribosomal RNA
Source: RNAcentral
GACGAACGCUGGCGGCGUGCCUAACACAUGCAAGUCGAACGAGGUCCAUCCAGUGGCAACACUGGUGAAGACUUAGUGGCGAACGGGUGAGUAACACGUGAGAAACCCACCCCGAUCUCUGGGAUAACAGGUGGAAACACCUGCUAACACCGGAUGCCUUCACCGCAUCGCAUGGCGUGGUGAGGAAAGGUUACGGAUCGGGACGGUCUCGCGGCCUAUCAGCUUGUUGGCGGGGUAAUGGCCCACCAAGGCUUCGACGGGUAGCUGGUCUGAGAGGACGAUCAGCCACACUGGGACUGAGACACGGCCCAGACUCCUACGGGAGGCAG